Molecule: ribosomal RNA, 409 nt
Filed under: uncultured bacterium
Lineage: Bacteria
Description: bacterial SSU rRNA
Rfam family: Bacterial small subunit ribosomal RNA
Source: RNAcentral
GUGCCAGCCGCCGCGGUAAUACGGAGGAUCCGAGCGUUAUCCGGAUUUAUUGGGUUUAAAGGGUGCGUAGGUGGAUUGUUAAGUCAGUGGUGAAAGUUUUCAGCUCAACUGAAAAAUUGCCGUUGAAACUGUCGAUCUUGAGUGCAAAUGAGGUAGGCGGAAUGUGUUGUGUAGCGGUGAAAUGCUUAGAUAUAACACAGAACUCCGAUUGCGAAGGCAGCUUACUGGGAUGCAACUGACACUGAUGCACGAAAGCGUGGGUAUCAAACAGGAUUAGAUACCCUGGUAGUCCACGCAGUAAACGAUGAAUACUAGCUGUAUGCGAUACACCGUAUGUGGCACAGCGAAAGCGUUAAGUAUUCCACCUGGGGAGUACGUUCGCAAGAAUGAAACUCAAAGAAAUUGACGG